UACGGAGGGUGCGAGCGUUGUCCGGAUUUAUUGGGUUUAAAGGGUGCGUAGGUGGCUGAUUAAGUCAGUGGUGAAAUACAGCCGCUCAACGGUUGAGGUGCCAUUGAUACUGAUCAGCUUGAAAGAAUUGGAGGCUGCCGGAAUGGAUGGUGUAGCGGUGAAAUGCAUAGAUAUCAUCCAGAACACCGAUUGCGAAGGCAGGUGGGCUACGAUUUAUUUGACACUGAGGCACGAAAGCAUGGGGAGCAAACAGGG
Molecule: ribosomal RNA, 255 nt
Filed under: uncultured bacterium
Lineage: Bacteria
Description: partial 16S ribosomal RNA
Rfam family: Bacterial small subunit ribosomal RNA
Source: RNAcentral